RNAcentral lists this ribosomal RNA (1515 nucleotides) under Francisella orientalis. RNAcentral's name for it is "Francisella noatunensis subsp. orientalis 16S ribosomal RNA". It matches the Rfam family "Bacterial small subunit ribosomal RNA". The record is from RNAcentral. Lineage: Bacteria; Pseudomonadati; Pseudomonadota; Gammaproteobacteria; Thiotrichales; Francisellaceae.
AGAGUUUGAUCCUGGCUCAGAUUGAACGCUGGUGGCAUGCUUAACACAUGCAAGUCGAACGGUAACAGGUCUUCGGAUGCUGACGAGUGGCGGACGGGUGAGUAACGCGUAGGAAUCUGCCCAUCUGUGGGGGAUACCAGUUGGAAACGACUGUUAAUACCGCAUAAUAUCUGCGGAUUAAAGGUGGCCUUUGCGCUGCCGCAGAUGGAUGAGCCUGCGUUGGAUUAGCUAGUUGGUGGGGUAAGGGCCUACCAAGCUACGAUCCAUAGCUGAUUUGAGAGGAUGAUCAGCCACAUUGGGACUGAGACACGGCCCAAACUCCUACGGGAGGCAGCAGUGGGGAAUAUUGGACAAUGGGGGAAACCCUGAUCCAGCAAUGCCAUGUGUGUGAAGAAGGCUCUAGGGUUGUAAAGCACUUUAGUUGGGGAGGAAAGCCUGUGAGUUAAUAGCUUGCAGGAAGGACGUUGCCCAAAGAAUAAGGACCGGCUAACUCCGUGCCAGCAGCCGCGGUAAUACGGGGGGUCCGAGCGUUAAUCGGAAUUACUGGGCGUAAAGGGUCUGUAGGUGGUUUGUUAAGUCAGAUGUGAAAGCCCAGGGCUCAACCUUGGAACUGCAUUUGAUACUGACAAACUAGAGUAUGGUAGAGGAAUAGGGAACUUCUGGUGUAGCGGUGAAAUGCGUAGAGAUCAGAAGGAACACCAAUGGCGAAGGCAACAUUCUGGACCAAUACUGACACUGAGGGACGAAAGCGUGGGGAUCAAACAGGAUUAGAUACCCUGGUAGUCCACGCUGUAAACGAUGAGUACUAGCUGUUGGAUUCGGUGUAAAGGAUCUAGUGGCGCAGCUAACGCGUUAAGUACUCCGCCUGGGGACUACGGCCGCAAGGCUAAAACUCAAAGGAAUUGACGGGGACCCGCACAAGCGGUGGAGCAUGUGGUUUAAUUCGAUGCAACGCGAAGAACCUUACCUGGUCUUGACAUCCUGCGAACUUUCUAGAGAUAGAUUGGUGCCUUCGGGAACGCAGUGACAGGUGCUGCACGGCUGUCGUCAGCUCGUGUUGUGAAAUGUUGGGUUAAGUCCCGCAACGAGCGCAACCCCUAUUGAUAGUUACCAUCAUUAAGUUGGGUACUCUAUUGAGACUGCCGCUGACAAGGCGGAGGAAGGUGGGGACGACGUCAAGUCAUCAUGGCCCUUACGACCAGGGCUACACACGUGCUACAAUGGGUAUUACAGAGGGCUGCGAAGGUGCGAGCUGGAGCGAAACUCAGAAAGGUACUCUUAGUCCGGAUUGCAGUCUGCAACUCGACUGCAUGAAGUCGGAAUCGCUAGUAAUCGCAGGUCAGAAUACUGCGGUGAAUACGUUCCCGGGUCUUGUACACACCGCCCGUCACACCAUGGGAGUGGGUUGCUCCAGAAGUAGAUAGCUUAACGAAUGGGCGUUUACCACGGAGUGAUUCAUAACUGGGGUGAAGUCGUAACAAGGUAGCCGUAGGGGAACCUGCGGCUGGAUCACCU